AUUGAACGCUGGCGGCAGGCCUAACACAUGCAAGUCGAGCGGUAACAGGACUAGCUUGCUAGUUGCUGACAAGCGGCGGACGGGUGCGUAACACGUAGGAAUCUACCCAGUAGCGGGGGAUAGCCCGGAGAAAUCCGGAUUAAUACCGCAUACGCCCUACGGGGGAAAGCAGGGGAUCUUCGGACCUUGCACUAUUGGAUGAGCCUGCGUCGGAUUAUCUUGUUGGUGAGGUAAAGGCUCACCAAGGGGACGAUCCGUACCUGGUCUGAGAGGAUGAUCAGCCACACUGGGACUGGGACACGGCCCAGACUCCUACGGGAGGCAGCAUUGGGGAAUAUUGCACAAUGGGCGAAAGCCUGAUGCACCCAUGCCGCGUGUGUGAAGAAGGCUCUAGGGUUGUAAAGCACUUUCAGCGAGGAGGAAAGGUUGAUGAUUAAUACUCAUUAACUGUGACGUUACUCGCAUAACAGGCACCGGCUAACUCCGUGCCAGCAGCCGCGGUAAUACGGAGGGUGCAAGCGUUAAUCGGAAUUACUGGGCGUAAAGCGUGCGUACGCGGCUUGCUAAGUUGGAUGUGAAAGCCCCGGGCUCAACCUGGGA
RNAcentral lists this ribosomal RNA (600 nucleotides) under uncultured bacterium. RNAcentral's name for it is "bacterial SSU rRNA". It matches the Rfam family "Bacterial small subunit ribosomal RNA", at positions 28 to 619 of the family's 1533-position model. The record is from RNAcentral.